This is a long non-coding RNA of Erpetoichthys calabaricus (reedfish), 668 nucleotides long. RefSeq lists it as uncharacterized. NCBI's taxonomy places the organism in Eukaryota, Metazoa, Chordata, Cladistia, Polypteriformes, Polypteridae. The record is from RefSeq and is a predicted model, not a curated record. The transcript has 2 exons.
UGUCAACAAAGCUGAAACAUCUUAAGAGUAUAUACUUUAAGUACCCACUAUGCAUAUAUAUUUUUAUAUGAAUUUUGUUAAGUUUAGGAAACAUUAUUUAACAUUUAAAAAAACAAUACAAUGAUGCAAUUUCAAAGUCUUUUGUUUCUGUUAAGUACAAGUCAUGGAAACAUUACAGUGUUUUAUAUUCCCAACUAAAAGCACUGGUAAGGACUGAAGACAAACACCUCUUCUACUUGGAUAAUAGUCCAGUAUGGUGCCAUUUAAAACACUUUGGCAUCAGAAUGGACAUGAGUAAUCAACACGCAAGAAAAGGAAGAAAGAAUUUAGAAAAUACAGAAGACACGUACACACGGUCCAUCUUAACUCAAUCUUAACUAUAAAUAUCUUGUAUAACAAAGCAGCAUAUAGUGCACACAUUUCCAAAGGACAGAAUUGGCUGACUUUUCUUCUUCUAUAUAUUUAAUAUUGCUCUAAGCGGGGGAAAAAAAAACAGGAUCAGAGCAUGUAAUUCUUUGAAAACUGUUUAACUGAAAUGCAAGCCGCAUGUAUUAGUAAAAUGUGCAGAUUUUUGUUUAUUAAUAAUCACAUUUUAAAUUAUUUACAAGUUACAUUUCUUUCAUCUUAAAAAAACAAUUUUGAGUGCAUUUUAACUAUUGAAAAAUAAA